AGCGGCGGACGGGUGAGUAAUACCUGGGGAUCUGCCCAAUCGAGGGGGAUAACAGUUGGAAAUGACUGCUAAUACCGCAUACGCCCUACGGGGGAAAGGAGGGGACCUUCGGGCCUUCCGCGAUUGGAUGAACCCAGGCGGGAUUAGCUAGUAGGUGAGGUAAUGGCUCACCUAGGCGACGAUCCCUAGCUGUUCUGAGAGGAUGGACAGCCACACUGGAACUGAGACACGGUCCAGACUCCUACGGGAGGCAGCAGUGGGGAAUAUUGGACAAUGGGGGAAACCCUGAUCCAGCCAUGCCGCGUGUGUGAAGAAGGCCUUCGGGUUGUAAAGCACUUUCAGUGGGGAGGAAAGGUUGUUGGUUAAUACCUAACAGCUGUGACGUUACCCACAGAAGAAGCACCGGCUAACUCCGUGCCAGCAGCCGCGGUAAUACGGAGGGUGCAAGCGUUAAUCGGAAUUACUGGGCGUAAAGCGUGCGCAGGCGGUCUGUUAAGCGAGAUGUGAAAGCCCCGGGCUCAACCUGGGAACUGCAUUUCGAACUGGCAGA
RNAcentral lists this ribosomal RNA (550 nucleotides) under uncultured bacterium. RNAcentral's name for it is "bacterial SSU rRNA". It matches the Rfam family "Bacterial small subunit ribosomal RNA", at positions 94 to 640 of the family's 1533-position model. The record is from RNAcentral.